UACGUAGGGCGCAAGCGUUGUCCGGAAUUAUUGGGCGUAAAGAGCUCGUAGGCGGUUGGGUAAGUCGGGUGUGAAAACUCCGGGCUCAACUCGGAGACGCCACCCGAUACUGCUCUGACUUGAGUCCGGUAGGGGAGUGGGGAAUUCCUGGUGUAGCGGUGAAAUGCGCAGAUAUCAGGAGGAACACCGGUGGCGAAGGCGCCACUCUGGGCCGGAACUGACGCUGAGGAGCGAAAGCGUGGGUAGCAAACAGG
RNAcentral lists this ribosomal RNA (254 nucleotides) under uncultured bacterium. Its description in RNAcentral is "partial 16S ribosomal RNA". It matches the Rfam family "Bacterial small subunit ribosomal RNA", at positions 524 to 776 of the family's 1533-position model. The record is from RNAcentral.